CUUAUGACAGCAAAAGGGAAACAUCAGCUCCGGGGAGCCCCCAUGUAAAUGGGGAGUUGAAAGAAAGAUCAGGAAUAAUGGAACGAGAACAUUUUCACGAAGCACAAUCACAGAAGAACAGAAUGUCCUGAUGUUUGGCUGACCACAGGGAAUGUCAGGAUGCCAAAAAUCUCCUUUGGGACAUUAGAUAUGCCUUGAAUUUCACCACUACAAGUUCUACCAUCAGGGAAAACCACUA
RNAcentral lists this long non-coding RNA (238 nucleotides) under Homo sapiens (human). RNAcentral describes it as "HSALNT0297804". Lineage: Eukaryota; Metazoa; Chordata; Mammalia; Primates; Hominidae. The record is from RNAcentral.